UAGUUUUUCAUGCAGCAAUGGAUAAGCAAAAAAAAAAAAAGAGUAUUUAAAAUAGGAAAACCUAUGAUUUGCUCAGUGACAUUAGCUGAUUUAAGGUGAUUCCACCAGGAUUUUAGUCAUUUUAACACUAAAAUGGAUCUCUACAGAAAUCCUGGUCCAAUAACCACAGAUGAAGCACCAAAGCUUCCAAGAGAAAAGCCAAGGUCUUCCUUCUUCAAAGGUGGCAGAGAAUAAAGCAAAUGCCCAUUUAUGUUCACAGCUCCCCUCUCUGCUUCUUCACAAUUGGAGGUCAGGUGUGUCACCCCAACCCAGAGAGGAGAGCCAUCUCCUGAUCUUCAUUAGAGCAUGGUAGGAUGACCAGUGUCAGGUGGUUGGAAGAUUCUGGAAGAGGCCUUUCUACAGAAGACAGACAUCAUCUGUCUUCCUCCUCUGCCCCCACCUCUAUUAUGGAUGCACUUAAGGCCACUAUGUCCAAAGGGAAGUGAUGACAGCUCUCAAGUUUUCCCUCUUCCACCCCAACCACACUGCCCCCGGGCCAACCAGAGGUCAGAGUGACCAGGACCACAGGACCAGCUUCUUUGGCAGACCACACUGGGGACACCUUCCAAUAGCAGAUGUCCAGUGUCAGUUUUUCCCCCAUCACAGGAAGCAGAAGGAAGAAACAGGUUCCCCCCUGCUCCAGGGACAAGCACAGGCCUGCUAACUAUUUUUAUUGCAGGCAAAGGGUUAAAACCACAGCCUCCAAAAAUACUCCUGCAGAGUCUUCAGCUGGUAGAAGGAAGCUGGCAAGCCAGAGACCCACCUAGAGGUCCAGACACUGGGCAGGCUGGGUGAGAAGAACCCCAAAAAACCUGCAGUGGGGUGUUUGCAGGAGAUGGAGCCUAGGACUAGGAGUUCAAUGCUUUGAUACACAAAUAUGUCUUCCAGUAUCUUCCUGGUAAUGCUUGAAACCAAAUUUACCCCACCUUGCCCCAAGGUGUCUAAGGGGGACAAUUCAGAGCCUACUCCCAUAAUUCUUCGGGCAUAAAAUUUCUAAGUGGUCUCUGCUACACUUAAAGGAUCCAAAUGCAAUCUGAAAGGCACUCCUAUGUUUGGGUCCCACAGCAGGGGGAGCGUUAGGGGACCCCUCGGAUAUUCACUUCCUGCCCCCAGCUUUGUCUUGGUGCCUCCAAGUGAUCUCUGACAUUCAUAUAUUGAUAUAAAAGCAUCUUUGAUGUUAUAUAAAUAUCAAUCACCAGUGCCUCUCCUCUUGGUCCCAUCUCAUUUCCUCUCUUCCGUAGUCAGCCCCAGCUAAAUGCUUCUUGAGGGGAGGGAAAGGCGCGGGUAACCUCUUGCUAUCAGAAGAGGAGAGGGAAUGGGGAAGUUAAGAGAAGGUUAAAAGAGACUAAAAACUGCAGACAGCAGUCAUGUUACCUCAGUUUCCCCCAAAUCCCACCCAAACUGAAAGAAACAGAAUCCACUCACAGAAAAGGUACAAAGAUGGGUUUGACGUCAGGCAGUAAACCAAAAAGUUCCAGUUCCUGCCCUUACAAUUAUCCCUUCUCUGCAUGCUGGCUCCCUUUACAACACAACUUAUCAGAGUUUAUUUCCAUAUUGGCAUCUGUGUCUUCAAGGCAUCCAAGAAUCUUGUGUAUCUUUCAACAGAUCAAAAGGCAUGACGAAAAAUGUUCUUGGAUCAACUCCUAGAAAAAUCUUAAACCAGAUUUUCCUGGGCUAUUUCAGGCCAGUUGGUGCCUGCUAUUUUACAUUGUGGCAUCUUUCUUUUUAAAUAUGGAUUAAAUACCCCAGUGAAUGAAAAGAUUAAAAGUUUACUAUUCCAGCAGCACUGGUGUAUAAACUGAUGUGUUACCUACUUAAAGACUUCUGUGGACUUUCAUCACCCACUCUUACUCUUUGGGGCACCACGUUUUUUAUGGGAAAAGCAAAGCCUGGGCUUUCCAAGCAGAGGGCAACGACACUUGUCAGUGUUAUGAGAGGCGGCACAGAAUCCAAAUAGGAGUGGAACCAAGAUGGACAUUCAGAUUUGAUUGUUUUUAGUUAAUUGGAGUUUGAGUUUAUAAACAAUAUGAAAUAAAAGACCUAUGUAA
Non-coding RNA from Manis javanica (Malayan pangolin), 2087 nucleotides. The record is from RefSeq and is a predicted model, not a curated record. NCBI's taxonomy places the organism in Eukaryota, Metazoa, Chordata, Mammalia, Pholidota, Manidae.